GAUGCGCCACCCUGCUUGUGGCCUCUUGUAGCUGGAGUGGCCCAGCCAGAGCCCCAGGCAGGGCUUGAAGUCGUGGUCAGACAAGCUCUUGUCACGGGCUGGCAGCAGAGAUGCCCCCUGCCCAGGGCAGCACAGCAGAGGUCUCGAGGUGGCAUUUGGUGGCCAGCCUCUGGGGCCAGCCUCAGUGCUUAUCCUGAGAGCCGCUGGAACCAGGGCAGGCCUCCUGCCUCCUUCCCCAGGGGGCAGCUGCCGGGCACGGGGUCAGGUGGGGCUGCGGAGGCCGCGGUGGGCGUGCGAGUCGAGGUUCCUGUGCUGCCGGCUGGGCUGAGGAGCGGGGGGCCUGGGGCCUGGGGGAGGCGAGGAGUGGCCGGGUGUGAUGGUGGGGAGGCUUGGAGUGGGGCCUCAUGGCGGAAGGUGGCAGGACCCAGCCCCCUCCCCGGCCUGCAAAUGACCCAGGGGACUGCAGCCGGGGCGUCUCGGCCUGCUUUGCUCUUCCUUUCCUCCAGGUCGCCUGUUCUGAUCCGAUCUGGCCCACGCCCUCUAGCGAGGGCGCUCCCCACCCGGGGCAGUGGCAGCCUUCCUGUGGGGACAGGCCCCGGCCCAUCCCUCCUGCGGAGCCACCUGCACUGGCCGCUGCGCAGACCCCGGUCACUGCGGCCUCUGUGCCAGGGCUGAGGACAGGUGCCCAGGUUCUGGGUGUAGCUGCCCUGGUUAAAGCUCCGCUCGUGCUUCCCACGGUGACCGUUCUGCUCGGCUCUGGGAGCAGUGGCCAGACCUGAUUUGUUGGACCCCUGGGUCGGGCCUCUGGCCCAGGACUCCGUGACAGAGGCAGCACACGCACCCGGGUUGCCAACGUGGAAAGCCUUCUGGAAAUAUGCUCAGAGAUCCCCAGUCCCUCCUCCAGAGUGAUUCACUCCUGGGUGGCGCCAGGACCGGUCACCCACCACCCUGGGCAGAGGGCCAUUUCCACGCCUCUGCUGAGCAUGAGAACUAGUUGUCCUGUGUGGCCUCCCACCACCUGCUCAGGCCUCUUCCUCCUCCUCAGUGUGGUGUGGCCAUUUGACCGAGUUCUAAGUGAGCUGAACUGGUGGUGUGUGGAGCUUCCCAGAAGUGCCCUUAAAGAGAGGGGCUAUGGCCUUCCAAAUCCCCUUCUUCCCUUCUGCUGGAAUGCAAGCAUGAAAGCUGGAGCACAGGCAGCACUGUUGGAUAAGGAGGAGGUGAACCAACGAGAAGGAGCCUGGCUCCCUAAGGACCACAGAGCCGCCCUCGAAGGCCACAGCAGGACUGAGCUGUGCAGGAGAAGUGCAGUUCUUUUAUUGAAGACACUGCCUCUUGCAGAUUUCAGACGCUUGCCACAAAGUCUCCCCUGCAGUGAAUGUAAAAAUAACGAUGGCUGUCAUGAAAAAGUGGCGUUCUGGAGCCCUCAGGGGCAGCUUCCUCGUCAGAGGACAGAGCAGGUCAUCCACCCAGGUGGAUUUCCUCAGUUUGUUCUGAGGGACCAGCGGGGAACGGAAAGCAAAGAUGUCCUCACCGUGUGGCUCAAGGUGACAGCGCCAAGCUGCUCACCGCACUGCGGCACUGCGCCUGGCGUCCCCGCUCCCAGGCCCUGCUGCCCGCCUCUACCUCCGGCCCCAGCCACCAGUCUCCCUGGGGCAGUAACGAGCAUCCAGCGUCCACCAGCAGAUGGUGUUUGUCACCGCGCUCAGCCUCUGGGACUCCGUGACCGGCUUCUCUCUCUGCUCCUCGGCAUCUCGCAGCCUCCCUAUGGGCCCUCGCCCUGGCCGAGCGCCACGGUCAGCUGGCCGGGGGACCGGGCGUGUGAGCGCCUCAGCUGCCCGCCGUCCUCCUCCCUGUGAAGUGGGGGCACGAGCGCCUUCCUCCAGGGAGUCCACUGCGUCCUGAGCUUCACAGCCACCAAGCCCCUGGGACACCUCGGCCUGACUUCCUUGUGGACUGGCCACCCGUGGAUUCACCUUCUGUUUCCACACCCCAGCAAGGAGCUGGGCCCAGCUGGGCUCAGGAAACCGAUCGCGGGAGGUGACGGGGUGACAGCGAGACAAAUGACGGGCACCCCCUGCGCCCCGAGCCACACCGUGUUCUCGGGGUGUGCAGGCUCAGGGUGGGGGACCUGGGACCAGGCUCCUGCGGCCCUGCAGCUGCCCAGCUGCUUCCUGAUGCUGGCGUCCUGGGGACGGGCCACACGAGGCACCAGGCCUCCUGAUU
Non-coding RNA from Marmota flaviventris (yellow-bellied marmot), 2223 nucleotides. The record is from RefSeq and is a predicted model, not a curated record. Lineage: Eukaryota; Metazoa; Chordata; Mammalia; Rodentia; Sciuridae.